GGACAUAUGGCCGAGUGGUCUAAGGCGCUAGCUUCAGGUUCAUUCCAGAUUCGCUAGUCUUCGGGCGUGGGUUCGAAUCCCACUGUGUUCA
Molecule: transfer RNA, 91 nt
Filed under: Puccinia coronata f. sp. avenae
Lineage: Eukaryota; Fungi; Basidiomycota; Pucciniomycetes; Pucciniales; Pucciniaceae
Rfam family: tRNA
About the family: Transfer RNA (tRNA) molecules are approximately 80 nucleotides in length. Their secondary structure includes four short double-helical elements and three loops (D, anti-codon, and T loops).
Source: Rfam by way of RNAcentral